This 449-nucleotide ribosomal RNA is filed under the name uncultured bacterium. RNAcentral describes it as "partial 16S ribosomal RNA". It matches the Rfam family "Bacterial small subunit ribosomal RNA", at positions 29 to 523 of the family's 1533-position model. The record is from RNAcentral.
AACGAACGCUGGCGGCAGGCUUAACACAUGCAAGUCGAACGCAUCCUUCGGGGUGAGUGGCAGACGGGUGAGUAACGCGUGGGAACGUGCCCUUCAGUUCGGGAUAACCCAGGGAAACUUGGGCUAAUACCGGAUACGUGCGAGAGCAGAAAGAUUUAUCGCUGAAGGAUCGGCCCGCGUCUGAUUAGCUAGUUGGUGGGGUAAUGGCCCACCAAGGCGACGAUCAGUAGCUGGUCUGAGAGGAUGAUCAGCCACAUUGGGACUGAGACACGGCCCAAACUCCUACGGGAGGCAGCAGUGGGGGAUAUUGGACAAUGGGCGCAAGCCUGGUCCAGCCAUGCCGCGUGAGUGAUGAAGGCCUUAGGGUUGUAAAGCUCUUUCGUCCGGGACGAUAAUGACGGUACCGGAAGAAGAAGCCCCGGCUAACUCCGUGCCAGCAGCCGCAGUAA